This 563-nucleotide ribosomal RNA is filed under the name uncultured marine bacterium. Its description in RNAcentral is "bacterial SSU rRNA". It matches the Rfam family "Bacterial small subunit ribosomal RNA", at positions 338 to 896 of the family's 1533-position model. The record is from RNAcentral.
CCUACGGGAGGCAGCAGCUAAGAAUCUUCCGCAAUGGGCGAAAGCCUGACGGAGCGACGCCGCGUGAACGAAGAAGGCCGUGAGGUUGUAAAGUUCUUUUCGGGAGGGGGAAUGACCGUGGCAGGGAAUGGCCGCGGGAUGACGUGAAUCCCGGAAUAAGCCCCGGCUAACUACGUGCCAGCAGCCGCGGUAACACGUAGGGGGCGAGCGUUGUUCGGAAUCAUUGGGCGUAAAGGGCGUGCAGGCGGCASUGCAAGUCCGGCGUGAAAGACCCCGGCCCAACCGGGGGGGUGCGCUGGAAACUGCGGUGCUUGAGUACAGGAGGGGAUGCCGGAAUUCCAGGUGUAGGGGUGAAAUCUGUAGAUWUCUGGAAGAACACCGAUGGCGAAGGCAGGCAUCUGGCCAUGUACUGACGCUGAGACGCGAAGGUGCGGGGAGCAAACAGGUUUAGAUACCCUGGUAGUCCGCACAGUAAACGAUGUGCACCAGGUGGCGGGGGUAGAACCCUCGGUACCGUAGCAAACGCAUUAAGUGCACCGCCKGGGAGUAKCUCSUCAAAGAKA